UACAAGCAUAAAAUUAUGGAGCAGAAAAGUUGAAUAGAUAUAUUACAGAUAUUUUCCAACGUGGAAUGAAAUACUAGAACAUAUAACAAAAACAUACUAUGCAAACAUACUUUACUUUCUUGGAUGAUAUAUCCGGAAAUAUGUUUAAGGAUUUAUUCAGACAUUGAUGAGGAAAUUACAAUCAAAAAACUACGGAGCAGAAAAGUUGAAAAGUUACAUUAACCAAAUUAAACACGGCGGAAUGAAAUACUAUGACAAAUGAGAAAAACGUACUCUGAAAACAGAUGCAAUUACUUUCUCGCAGGAUAUAUAAGGAAAUAUGAUUAAGCAUUUAUUCAGAAUGGAAUAUUUCAAUAC
Molecule: long non-coding RNA, 357 nt
Organism: Osmia bicornis bicornis
Lineage: Eukaryota; Metazoa; Arthropoda; Insecta; Hymenoptera; Megachilidae
Exons: 3
Source: RefSeq, a predicted model, not a curated record